CCUACGGGAGGCAGCAGUGAGGAAUAUUGGUCAAUGGCCGGAAGGCUGAACCAGCCAUGCCGCGUGAAGGUCAGUGCCCUAUGGGCGUUAAACUUCUUUUGUGCGGGAGCAAUAAUGGUCACGUGUGGCCAGACGAGAGUACCGUACGAAUAAGCAUCGGCUAACUCCGUGCCAGCAGCCGCGGUAAUACGGGGGAUGCAAGCGUUAUCCGGAUUUAUUGGGUUUAAAGGGUGCGUAGGCUGUGAGGUAAGUCAGCGGUGAAAUGCCCCCGCUCAACGGGGUGAAGUGCCAUUGAUACUGCCUGGCUGGAAUGCGGAGGCCGUGGGAGGAAUGUGUGGUGUAGCGGUGAAAUGCAUAGAUAUCACACAGAACACCGAUUGCGAAGGCAUCUCACGAAUCCGCGAUUGACGCUGAUGCACGAAAGCGUGGGUAUCAAACAGGAUUAGAUACCCCAGUAGUC
This 460-nucleotide ribosomal RNA is filed under the name uncultured bacterium. RNAcentral describes it as "partial 16S ribosomal RNA". It matches the Rfam family "Bacterial small subunit ribosomal RNA", at positions 338 to 795 of the family's 1533-position model. The record is from RNAcentral.